This 436-nucleotide ribosomal RNA is filed under the name uncultured cyanobacterium. RNAcentral describes it as "bacterial SSU rRNA". It matches the Rfam family "Bacterial small subunit ribosomal RNA", at positions 46 to 526 of the family's 1533-position model. Lineage: Bacteria; Bacillati; Cyanobacteriota. The record is from RNAcentral.
GCUUAACACAUGCAAGUCGAACGGUGUCUUCGGACACAGUGGCGGACGGGUGAGUAACGCGUGAGAAUCUGGCUCUAGGUCUGGGACAACCACUGGAAACGGUGGCUAAUACCGGAUGUGCCGAAAGGUGAAAGGUUAACUGCCUGGAGAUGAGCUCGCGUCUGAUUAGCUAGUAGGUGUGGUAAAGGCGCACCUAGGCGACGAUCAGUAGCUGGUCUGAGAGGACGAUCAGCCACACUGGGACUGAGACACGGCCCAGACUCCUACGGGAGGCAGCAGUGGGGAAUUUUCCGCAAUGGGCGAAAGCCUGACGGAGCAAUACCGCGUGAGGGAGGAAGGCUCUUGGGUCGUAAACCUCUUUUCUCAGGGAAGAACACAAUGACGGUACCUGAGGAAUAAGCAUCGGCUAACUCCGUGCCAGCAGCCGCGGUAAUAC